This 370-nucleotide ribosomal RNA is filed under the name uncultured bacterium. Its description in RNAcentral is "bacterial SSU rRNA". It matches the Rfam family "Bacterial small subunit ribosomal RNA", at positions 32 to 394 of the family's 1533-position model. The record is from RNAcentral.
AAUCAACGCUGGCGGCGUGCCUCAGACAUGCAAGUCGAACGAUUAAAGCUCUCUUCGGAGAGUGCAUAGAGUGGCGCACGGGUGAGUAACACGUAAGUAAUCUACCUUUGAGUGGGGAAUACCGUCCGGAAACGGACGCUAAUACCGCAUAAUGCAGCGGCAUCGCAAGAUGACAGUUGUUAAAGAUUUAUCGCUUGAAGAGGAGCUUGCGGCAGAUUAGCUAGUUGGUAAGGUAAUGGCUUACCAAGGCUACGAUCUGUAACCGGUCUAAGAGGACGGUCGGUCACACUGACACUGAACAACGGGUCAGACUCCUACGGGAGGCAGCAGUCGGGAAUUUUGGGCAAUGGGCGAAAGCCUGACCCAGCAA